UGUAUUCAGUCCUCGUUCAUGGCUGUUCUUUUUUUGUAUCGACAUACAUCCAUCAAAAUUUACGAACGUGCGUUUAAGUCAACAGACGUUUGCUGUGAAACAAAAGAAUUGAGAAAUAGUUCCCCACACUUGGAAGCAAUAAGAAGCAAGUCAAUCCUAUUGAAAUGGAUCAGUCAAAGUUUAAAAGUUUUAAAGCUCUGUGGAUUGAGCAAAUAGUUCUGUUGCUGCGUCCCCUACAACAUUACAUCGCCAGUAACAUCCAACGUUCGUGUUCAAAAGAGCUUCUGUGUUCGGGCGCUCCUUAUCAAAGUUGCUGGGGGCGACCCGCCCAUCCUGCAGCCUAAUAAGCCUCCUUGAGCUUCGAGUGGAAAUUUACCCGGCCUUUCCCUACUUUUCCUUCUUUAUUUAUUGGGAAUGGAACCGAAGAAGAAAGAACGAGGGGGAAAAAAAAAACGUCCAGUCGGCUUCUACAAGCAGAAAGGAGCCUUGAAGGAUCGCUGAUACAGAUCCAAGUGGCGAUGUAUUUUCAGUUGUAUACACAAGGCCAUCCAGCCAUUACAGCAUACGAGAUGCCGAGGAAAUCGGAAACCCUAUUACACACACACACAC
This is a long non-coding RNA of Daphnia carinata, 609 nucleotides long. RefSeq lists it as uncharacterized. The record is from RefSeq and is a predicted model, not a curated record. NCBI's taxonomy places the organism in Eukaryota, Metazoa, Arthropoda, Branchiopoda, Diplostraca, Daphniidae. The transcript is spliced from 4 exons.